GGAGCACGAGUGGAGGCUUCCUGUUCUGUCUCUAUUCAUUUUCGCCCAGGUGUCUUUCGAAUCUCUCGGGAGAACCAAAAACUUGCCAAGCCGGACCGCUUAUUUCUUAGGCCUCUUCUGCCUGCGACACACCGUCUUUCUUUCAUUUCUCCCGUCGUGGCAUGUAUUGAUGAGCCAAAUACUUGCAGACAUCGGGUGCAUUGGUGGGUUUGGGCAGACAAAAUAAAUAUUGCCCUACCCUGGCGUACUUUUGUUGCGGGGUCGGUUAGCGAAGACAAGACUUCAUUUAGAAAGAUUAUUAGGCAGUGGCAGUGUGUUUCUGCGUGGUGGAAAACGUUGCACAAACGAGUUCCUGUCUUGGUAGCUGCUAAGUCUGGACAGGAGGAACAAGCGUUAAAGAAUGCGGAAAAUGUAGAGAAAAAGUUGAUGGUUCUGGAGGAUAUAUAAUAAUGAUAUUUGGCUUAAUGGAAGGAAUUAAGGCUUUCUUGAGAAAGCGAGGGUUUUACUCAGGUAAAUAUUACUGUAUUUAACCCAGAGAAAUCAUCAAAACGUUUAAAAGCUCCUUAAUGUGAUCCAAUCUUCGUUCUGGAACGUGAUCCUGCUUGAAAGAGAUUUACUAGGCCUUGCUAUAAUGUUUAUCUCUUGUUUGCAGCUUGGCUUGUGGAGAUGUUGAAGGAAAGUUCGAUGUUUUAUUCAAUAGAGUUCGGACAAUUCAGAAGAAAAGUGGGAACUUUGAU
RNAcentral lists this long non-coding RNA (737 nucleotides) under Rattus norvegicus (Norway rat). RNAcentral describes it as "long non-coding RNA NONRATT003815". The record is from RNAcentral. Lineage: Eukaryota; Metazoa; Chordata; Mammalia; Rodentia; Muridae.